Molecule: unclassified non-coding RNA, 619 nt
Filed under: Hevea brasiliensis (rubber tree)
Lineage: Eukaryota; Viridiplantae; Streptophyta; Magnoliopsida; Malpighiales; Euphorbiaceae
Source: RNAcentral
AGGAAAUAUAGCACUCUACAUAACUGAAUAAUUAGAUAAUAUUGUUACAACAAUCAUAAAACUCAUAAAUUCAUAAUUUGAUGUUCAAAUAUUUGGUAAUAAACAAACACUGUGGCACUAUCAUCCAGAUUAUUUGUAUAUGAAUAAAACAAAACACAGUAUGAAUUUGCUGAUGCCUCACAAUCAACGGUUCAAGUAAACCCAUCACCUUCAACAAACUAGAGCAAGAACAAACCAAGGAAAAGAGAAUAACCAAGAACAGAACCAAUUAGAUGGAUGAAAGAUAUUUGAGUUGGGAUGGAAGAUGAUUUGGGACGAGUUCUCCCUGGAGCAAAACGACCCCUUCUUUUGAUGUGAAUCCCAAGUUUUCGAGUAUGAAAUGAACUGAGAUCAUUGUCUGCUACUGCUAAUUGUCUGCCCUGGUGCAGGUACUGGCCAAUAGCUUUCUCGAAUUGAUCAAGGAAGCCUUCAUUAGCAGAACUCGGAAGAGAUUGAGACAAGAAGAGCAAGCUAAUGACUAGGAAACAGAAUAGGUUUCUCAUCUUAGCCAUGUUCCCCAAGCGAUAAUUUAGUAAGGUUGGAGGAAAGGAAAGGGCUACACAAAAACUUGAUGAUGACG